Molecule: long non-coding RNA, 1138 nt
Filed under: Heterocephalus glaber (naked mole-rat)
Lineage: Eukaryota; Metazoa; Chordata; Mammalia; Rodentia; Bathyergidae
Description: lncRNA (ENSHGLG00000036674.1)
Source: RNAcentral
UCUGGUUAGGACCCAGCAACUUUCCCAUUGAAACAAGGGCUAAGGAGCCCUCCUCUGGCCUGCCUUUGAGUUCCCCAGAUGGGGGUGAGGGUCCAGGACCAGCCCCAACAUUGGGGUUCCCCUGGCAUCCUGUUGGGAGGGUGAGGCUCCAACAGGCCUCCUCCCCAGCAUUUUCCCAGCCCCAGGCCGCUGACUCACAUCCAAGCCCAGGGCCCCUUACUGACUGGACUGGUUUGCCUGGCUCAGCCCAGCCCAGUGCACACCCCCUUGCCCAGAAGCCUUCAGAGCAGAUGGAGAGCACUUGCCCUGGGAAUGCUGCACUGGACAGACCCAGGAGGGACAGGAGAACCAAAGUCCACUGGUCUGGGUGGGGUCAGGUGGGCAGGAUGGGGCAGGGGGAGCCAGUAUAGCCCUCCUACCUGGGACCACAACAUGCCCACCCCUGGGUUCACAGGGCCUGAGCUCUGGGUCCCAAGUACAGGGGCAGUUCCGCUGCCAGACCCUCAGGGUCACCAGGGGCAGGGUGGUAUUUGCUGCUGGAGGACGCUGCCUGGCUACUCAUUAAAGUUGUCCCAUGGCACUGCAAGGAGGCUGCAUAUGGGAGCUCCCCAAUGCUGUCUCACAAAUGUCCUAUAAUUCCUCCUGAGGUUGAGGUGAGGGUGUUUCACACCCUUACCGCUCUGACUGCAGCUUUCCUCAGGGAAGCCUGGAGGGAACCGUCAGCUGCAGAGGAAGACUGGCCAGCAGGCAAGGGGCCCUGCGACCCCUAAGUGUCCAGAAGGUCCUGCAGCUGGAACUUUGUCAAGCAGCAAUGGAGGUCGGUUGGGCUUCGCCAUGGGGCCACACUGGCGUAGCUGGGCCCCAGCAGCUGUAAGGAUGGUGGUUUGGAGCAACACCUGGCAAGGAAGGAGCUGGCUCGCCAGGUAUACCUGGAGCAGAUGGAGAAGCUGCAGAGGGAGGUAUGGCCUCGGGGCACCAGGAGCAGGAAGCGGCCCGGCGGCGGCGGCGCGAGAAGGAGGAGGCGGCGAGGCGUGAGCGGCUGGAGGAACUGCAGCGCCGCCGCCGCCUCCUGGACGCCGCCUUCGACGCGUAUUUGGGCGAGAUCCGGGCGGUCCUGAACGAGGUCAGCGCCGCAGGG